Molecule: ribosomal RNA, 492 nt
Filed under: uncultured bacterium
Lineage: Bacteria
Description: partial 16S ribosomal RNA
Rfam family: Bacterial small subunit ribosomal RNA
Source: RNAcentral
AGUGAACGCUGGCGGUAGGCCUAACACAUGCAAGUCGAACGGCAGCACAGUAAGGGCUUGCUCUUACGGGUGGCGAGUGGCGGACGGGUGAGGAAUACAUCGGAAUCUACUUUUUCGUGGGGGAUAACGUAGGGAAACUUACGCUAAUACCGCAUACGACCUACGGGUGAAAGCAGGGGAUCUUCGGACCUUGGGCGAUUGAAUGAGCCGAUGUCGGAUUAGCUAGUUGGCGGGGUAAAGGCCCACCAAGGCGACGAUCCGUAGCUGGUCUGAGAGGAUGAUCAGCCACACUGGAACUGAGACACGGUCCAGACUCCUACGGGAGGCAGCAGUGGGGAAUAUUGGACAAUGGGCGCAAGCCUGAUCCAGCCAUACCGCGUGGGUGAAGAAGGCCUUCGGGUUGUAAAGCCCUUUUGUUGGGAAAGAAAAGCAGCAGGUUAAUACCCCGCUGUUCUGACGGUACCCAAAGAAUAAGCACCGGCUAACUUCGUG